Molecule: non-coding RNA, 1091 nt
Organism: Dermatophagoides farinae (American house dust mite)
Lineage: Eukaryota; Metazoa; Arthropoda; Arachnida; Sarcoptiformes; Pyroglyphidae
Source: RefSeq, a predicted model, not a curated record
UUCGGAUCGAUUACAAAUAGUUUGUGGUUUUCCUGUGAUUGUCGUGUUUUAUAUUCCAACAUUCCAUUGUCAUUUUGGAUGAUGAUUCGAUCAAACAAAAAAAAUGUCAAUCGAAUAAUAAUGAUAUUUAAACGGUAUUGAUGACAAUUUUUUCAUUGUUGAAAUCGUUACAAACAAUAUAUGACAAACGAUAAUUUGAUCAAUGUAUACCAUUCCUCAUAGAUGAUUGUCUCACAUUCAUGAAGAGCUAUUGAAAGAUAAUAUUCAUCCACAUCCAAUAGAAUUUUCGAAAUGGCUAUUCAACCAAAGAAAAAAUGGUAAAAAAAAGUGAAAAAAAUGAAUUUGGAUAUUUUACCGAUUUGGACCGAUUUAACAUCUCGAUCAGCUGUAUCGCCAUCUUUGAGUUACAAUUCGAACUUAUCAAAAAAAAAAAAACAUCGUACAAAAAUUUUCCGGUUUUCUGUUAUUGAAAAUUUUAUUUUACUUCAAAAAUUUAAACACCUGAAAGAGUUAUAAAUAGCUUGAAGAAAAUUUACACCCACACACACACAGUGACACAUACUGUCAAACAGUUAUACGCCCAUUGUCAAGCUCAAUCAAUUUGAUUAUUUGAUUUUUUUUUUUCGUUACCAUUUUAUCAUUUUGCCAUCGUCAUCACACCUAUCCAUUCAAUUACAAGAUAGUGAUCCUAUGAUUUAUACAUGAAUUUUUUUUUCUAUGAAACCGGUCCAUAAAUAUCUUGACACAUGAAAUGAAAAGAGCAAGAUCAAAUUAAUGAUAAAGAUCAUACAACAUUAAAUAGUGAAGAGCAAUUGAUCUAGUUUGUAUUAAACUGUCACAGAUUCAAACGAAAAAAAAAUGCAGACAAUUGUGAUUGAAUGGACAGUGAGAAAAAAAACACGAAUGAGAAAUUUUAAGCUUGUCAAAUGAAAUAAAGAGAGAGAGAGAGAGAGAGAUGGUGGUCCAAAAUAAAUCUAGGAUAGUAGUGUGUAUAUGGAUCAUCAAAACAGCAACAACAAGUUGGACAAACUUUCUCUCAUCCUGGCCAAUCUUAUAUUCAAUAGACCGAAGUCGAUAUUGAGAGAGAGAGA